RNAcentral lists this ribosomal RNA (460 nucleotides) under uncultured bacterium. Its description in RNAcentral is "partial 16S ribosomal RNA". It matches the Rfam family "Bacterial small subunit ribosomal RNA", at positions 338 to 795 of the family's 1533-position model. The record is from RNAcentral.
CCUACGGGCGGCAGCAGUGAGGAAUAUUGGUCAAUGGACGAGAGUCUGAACCAGCCAAGUAGCGUGAAGGAUGACUGCCCUAUGGGUUGUAAACUUCUUUUAUAAAGUAAUAAAACGAGGCACGUGUGCCUUUUUGCAUGUACUUUAUGAAUAAGGAUCGGCUAACUCCGUGCCAGCAGCCGCGGUAAUACGGAGGAUCCGAGCGGUAUCCGGAUUUAUUGGGUUUAAAGGGCGCGUAGAUGGGUUUUUAAGGAAGUUGUGAAAGUUUGCGGCUCAACCGUAAAAUUGCAAUUGAUACUGGCAGUCGUGAGUACAGUUGAGGUAGGCGGAAUUCGUGGUGUAGCGGUGAAAUGCUUAGAUAUCACGAAGAACCCCGAUUGCGAAGGCAGCUUACUAAACUGUGACUGACAUUGAUGCUCGAAAGUGUGGGUAUCAAACAGGAUUAGAUACCCUUGUAGUC